UACGUAGGGGGCAAGCGUUGUCCGGAAUCAUUGGGCGUAAAGCGCGUGUAGGCGGCCAGGUAAGUCCGUUCUGAAAGCCCGGGGCUCAACCCCGGGAGGCGGAUGGAUACUGCUUGGCUCGAGUCCGGAAGAGGCGAGUGGAAUUCCCGGUGUAGCGGUGAAAUGCGCAGAUAUCGGGAGGAACACCGGUGGCGAAGGCGGGUCUCUGGGCCGAUACUGACGCUGAGGAGCGAAAGCGUGGGGAGCGAACAGG
Molecule: ribosomal RNA, 253 nt
Filed under: uncultured bacterium
Lineage: Bacteria
Description: partial 16S ribosomal RNA
Rfam family: Bacterial small subunit ribosomal RNA
Source: RNAcentral